UACGAGGGGGGCAAGCGUUGUUCGGAAUUAUUGGGCGUAAAGGGCGCGUAGGCGGUGCGGUAAGUCUGAUGUGAAAUCUCCGGGCUCAACUCGGAGUCUGCAUCAGAAACUGCCGUGCUCGAGUGUGGGAGAGGUGAGUGGAAUUCCCGGUGUAGCGGUGAAAUGCGUAGAUAUUGGGAAGAACACCGGUGGCGAAGGCGGCUCUCUGGACCGAUACUGACGCUGAGGCGCGAAAGCGUGGGGAGCAAACAGG
RNAcentral lists this ribosomal RNA (253 nucleotides) under uncultured bacterium. RNAcentral describes it as "partial 16S ribosomal RNA". It matches the Rfam family "Bacterial small subunit ribosomal RNA", at positions 524 to 776 of the family's 1533-position model. The record is from RNAcentral.